This 460-nucleotide ribosomal RNA is filed under the name uncultured bacterium. RNAcentral describes it as "partial 16S ribosomal RNA". It matches the Rfam family "Bacterial small subunit ribosomal RNA", at positions 338 to 795 of the family's 1533-position model. The record is from RNAcentral.
CCUACGGGAGGCAGCAGUGAGGAAUAUUGCUCAAUGGACGAGAGUCUGAACCAGCCACGUAGCGUGAAGGAUGACUGCCCCCUGGGUUGUAAACUUCUUUUAUAAAGGAAUAAAACGAGGCACGUGUGCCUUUUUGCAUGUACUUUAUGAAUAAGGAUCGGCUAACUACGUGCAAGCAGCAGCGGUAAUACGGAGGAGCCGAGCGUUAUCCGGAUUUAUUGGGUUUAACGGGAGCGUAGAUGGGUUGUUAAGUCAGUUGUGAAAGUUUGCGGCUCAACCGUAAAAUUGCAAUUGAUACUGGCAGGCUUGAGUACAGGUGAGGUAGGCGGAAUUCGUGGUGUAGCGGUGAAAUGCUUAGAUAUCACGAAGAACCCCGAUUGCGAAGGCAGCUUACUAAACUGUGACUGACAUUGAUGCUCGAAAGUGUGGGUAGCAAACAGGAUUAGAUACCCGAGUAGUC